RNAcentral lists this transfer RNA (74 nucleotides) under Apaloderma vittatum (bar-tailed trogon). It matches the Rfam family "tRNA". Rfam says of the family: Transfer RNA (tRNA) molecules are approximately 80 nucleotides in length. Lineage: Eukaryota; Metazoa; Chordata; Aves; Trogoniformes; Trogonidae. The record is from Rfam by way of RNAcentral.
GGCUAGUUAGCUCAGUUGGUUAGAGCGUGGUGCUGAUAACACCAAGGUCGUGGGUUCGAUCCCCGUUCGGUCCC